CUGGAGAUGAAGUGUCUAGCUGUCUUGGAGUACAAAAGGUCAUAUCUAUCUUCAUUUAAAUAGAACUUUUUAUCCAACUUUCUAUAUGUAAUACUGUUCACUGAGCUGUUGGAACUAAACAAUUGCUUCAGAUUCCAUAUGGAAGGAGAGACACUUGCAAUGCAGAUCCAACUAUAACGGUUUACCACCCUUCAAGAGGAAUUAUAAGGAGAGGAAUGACUGGGAAAUCCUGCAAGUGUAGCAAGGACUAUGCCUGUCUUUCCCAAGAUGAAAAAGAGAAAGACCGUGAAGCAAAGAGCCUUUCCUAAGAGGAAUGUCCACCAUAAUCAUGAGUUGUUGCUGGAGACAGAAACAUAUACAGCAUUUUUUCUCAAUUCAUCAUGAUCAAUUUCAAGUCACCUUGGACAAUGAGUUCUAAAAUAAUCCCUGAUUACUUUGCAAGAGUUAUGGACAAAGUGCCUUCUAAUUCAUCUUAUGUAAUUUUCUUUAGAAAGAUCAAAAUCUAGGUAUCAACACCCA
This 519-nucleotide long non-coding RNA is filed under the name Monodelphis domestica (gray short-tailed opossum). RNAcentral describes it as "lncRNA (ENSMODG00000043141.1)". Lineage: Eukaryota; Metazoa; Chordata; Mammalia; Didelphimorphia; Didelphidae. The record is from RNAcentral.